This 282-nucleotide unclassified non-coding RNA is filed under the name plant metagenome. RNAcentral describes it as "partial contains small subunit ribosomal RNA and internal transcribed spacer 1". The stretch from base 1 to 54 matches the Rfam family "Eukaryotic small subunit ribosomal RNA", at positions 1778 to 1831 of the family's 1831-position model. The record is from RNAcentral.
GAAAGUAAAAGUCGUAACAAGGUUUCCGUAGGUGAACCUGCGGAAGGAUCAUUACCGAAUUGUCAAACGGGUUGUUGCUGGUCUUCAAACGGGGACAUGUGCACGCUCUGUUUACACAUCCACUCACACCUGUGCACCCUCCGUAGUUCUAUGGUCUGGGGGACCCUGUCUUCCUGGCGUGGUUCUACGUCUUUACACACACUCUGUAAUAAAGUCUUAUGGAAUGUAUGCCGCGUCUAACGCAAUACAAUACAACUCUCAGCAACGGAUCUCUUGGCUCGU